GUUUCAUCGAUAGAGCUGACAAAGUGAACGAGGUAAAGAAGUUGCAGUCUCAGUGGAGCGUCUACCAAAAGGUACAGUGAAAUUUGAUGAUGUGAGCAAAGACACAUUUCAAGGCACCAUCGAGGAAGUACAUUAUCGGACAAAAAGACAGGAACCGUUAAAUGGUGUGAUAUUGUACAACACAAGCAAUGGUAGUUCACAGCUGCCAUAUUGGGAGAAAGAUGUCUUGGGGGUGUUCACCGUCUUGACUUGGGAUGUUGUUGGUUUUAAAAUUGCUAAAGCCACUCAGUC
Long non-coding RNA from Xenia sp. Carnegie-2017, 291 nucleotides. RefSeq lists it as uncharacterized. Lineage: Eukaryota; Metazoa; Cnidaria; Anthozoa; Malacalcyonacea; Xeniidae. The transcript is spliced from 3 exons. The record is from RefSeq and is a predicted model, not a curated record.